AAUCAACGCUGGCGGCGUGCCUAACACAUGCAAGUCGAACGCGAAAGUCCCGCAAGGGAUGAGUAGAGUGGCAAACGGGUGAGUAACGCGUGGGUGACCUGCCUUCGAGCGGGGGAUAACGUCCCGAAAGGGACGCUAAUACCGCAUAACAUCCCGCUUUUCAACAAGUGGAGAUCAAAGCUGGGGAUCGCAAGACCUAGCACUCGAAGAGGGGCCCGCGUCUGAUUAGCAGUUGGUGAGGUAACGGCUCACCAAGGCGACGAUCAGUAUCCGGCCUGAGAGGGCGGACGGACACACUGGGACUGAGACACGGCCCAGACUCCUACGGGAGGCAGCAGUGGGAAUUGUUCGCAAUGGGCGCAAGCCUGACGACGCAACGCCGCGUGGAGGAUGAAGGUCUUCGGAUUGUAAACUCCUGUUGCUCGGGACGAAAUGCUCCAGCCUAACACGUUGGGAGUUUGACGGUACCGGGUGAGGAAGCCCCGGCUAACUCUGUGCC
This 499-nucleotide ribosomal RNA is filed under the name uncultured bacterium. Its description in RNAcentral is "bacterial SSU rRNA". It matches the Rfam family "Bacterial small subunit ribosomal RNA", at positions 32 to 509 of the family's 1533-position model. The record is from RNAcentral.